Molecule: long non-coding RNA, 564 nt
Organism: Myotis daubentonii (Daubenton's bat)
Lineage: Eukaryota; Metazoa; Chordata; Mammalia; Chiroptera; Vespertilionidae
Source: RefSeq, a predicted model, not a curated record
AAGGUCAGCUGUAAGUCUGUAUAAUGAUAUUACAUUGUAGAGACAGUUAAUCAGUGACUACAUUUCCCAUAGUCCUUAAGGCAACGUCGCCUGCAUUACCCAGAGGGCUGUGCGAUGUUCGUGAGAACCGUGAGCGUCCGUGGAAACAAAAAAGAGCUCCCAAUUUUCUUAACUGGCUCCAGGACAGGACGUUUUCGGGAGAAGAUAGCACCUCCACCAUCUGCACAAGGGUCCCCUCCCAUCACCAGCUUCAGCCAAUUGAGUCUUGGGAGCACCAGUCCCUCCAAGCCAGCGUUGUGACCUAAGGACUGAGGACAAGGAGUUCAGCUCAGAUCAGGAACUUGCUGAAAGAAGACCCCACCGGUAGCUCAUGCAGACUCAGUGAAACUUUGCAGGCACCAGUGCUGGAAUACCGCUCAGAAUGUUCCAGUACCUUAGACCAGCAUCAGGGAACCUUCCAGAGGGGAAGUCAAGCAGCUUGCCCACCCAUGGGAAGAGUUUGAAGAGUUUCAAACAGGAGAAACAAAAUCUGUGAAGGUGACGAGAGUGAUCAAACCUGCAGGC